GCACUGGUGGCUCAGGGGUAGAGUUCUUACCUUCCAUGCAACAGACCCUGGUUCGAUUCCUGGCCAAUGCA
RNAcentral lists this transfer RNA (71 nucleotides) under Loxodonta africana (African savanna elephant). It matches the Rfam family "tRNA". Rfam says of the family: Transfer RNA (tRNA) molecules are approximately 80 nucleotides in length. Their secondary structure includes four short double-helical elements and three loops (D, anti-codon, and T loops). Lineage: Eukaryota; Metazoa; Chordata; Mammalia; Proboscidea; Elephantidae. The record is from Rfam by way of RNAcentral.